Molecule: ribosomal RNA, 408 nt
Filed under: uncultured prokaryote
Also listed under: 1 other name
Description: bacterial SSU rRNA
Rfam family: Bacterial small subunit ribosomal RNA
Source: RNAcentral
UGGGGAAUAUUGGGCAAUGGAGGAAACUCUUACCCAGCAAUGCCGCGUGAGUGAAUGAAGGUCUUCGGAUUGUAAAGCUCUUUGAUCGGGGACGAAUAAAUGACGGUACCCGAGGAACAAGCCCCGGCUAACUAUGUGCCAGCAGCCGCGGUAAUACAUAGGGGGCAAGCGUUGUCCGGAAUGACUGGGCGUAAAGGGUGUGUAGGCGGUUUCGCAAGUUGGAAGUGUAAUACCUAGAGCUUAACUCAGGUGCUGCUUCCAAAACUGCGGGGCUUGAGUGUCGGAGAGGAAAAUGGAAUUCCUAGUGUAGCGGUGGAAUGCGUAGAUAUUAGGAGGAACACCAGAGGCGAAAGCGAUUUUCUGGACGAUAACUGACGCUGAGGCACGAAAGCGUGGGGAGCAAACAGG